GAUGAACGCUGGCGGCGUGCUUAACACAUGCAAGUCGAACGGUGAACACGGAGCCUGCUCUGUGGGAUCAGUGGCGAACGGGUGAGUAACACGUGAGCAACCUGCCCCUGACUCUGGGAUAAGCGCUGGAAACGGCGUCUAAUACUGGAUAUGUGACGUGACCGCAUGGUCUGCGUUUGGAAAGAUUUUUCGGUUGGGGAUGGGCUCGCGGCCUAUCAGCUUGUUGGUGAGGUAAUGGCUCACCAAGGCGUCGACGGGUAGCCGGCCUGAGAGGGUGACCGGCCACACUGGGACUGAGACACGGCCCAGACUCCUACGGGAGGCAGCAGUGGGGAAUAUUGCACAAUGGGCGGAAGCCUGAUGCAGCAACGCCGCGUGAGGGAUGACGGCCUUCGGGUUGUAAACCUCUUUUAGCAGGGAAGAAGCGAAAGUGACGGUACCUGCAGAAAAAGCGCCGGCUAACUACGUGCCAGCAGCCGCCGUAA
Molecule: ribosomal RNA, 485 nt
Filed under: uncultured bacterium
Lineage: Bacteria
Description: partial 16S ribosomal RNA
Rfam family: Bacterial small subunit ribosomal RNA
Source: RNAcentral